CCUACGGGAGGCAGCAGUGAGGAAUAUUGGUCAAUGGACGAGAGUCUGAACCAGCCAAGUAGCGUGAAGGAUGACUGCCCUAUGGGUUGUAAACUUCUUUUAUAUGGGAAUAAAACGUUCCACGUGUGGGAUUUUGUAUGUACCAUAUGAAUAAGGAUCGGCUAACUCCGUGCCAGCAGCCGCGUUAAUACGGAGGAUCCGAGCGUUAUCCGGAUUUAUUGGGUUUAAAGGGAGCGUAGGUGGAUUGUUAAGUCAGUUGUGAAAGUUUGCGGCGCAACCGUAAAAUUGUAGUUGAAACUGGCAGUCUUGAGUACAGUAGAGGUGGGCGGAAUGCGUGGUGUAGCGGUGAAAUGCUUAGAUAGCACGAAGAACUCCGAUUGCGAAGGCAGUUCACUGGACUGCAACUGACACUGAGGCUCGAAAGUGUGGGUAUCAAACAGGAUUAGAUACCCCAGGAGUC
RNAcentral lists this ribosomal RNA (460 nucleotides) under uncultured bacterium. Its description in RNAcentral is "partial 16S ribosomal RNA". It matches the Rfam family "Bacterial small subunit ribosomal RNA", at positions 338 to 795 of the family's 1533-position model. The record is from RNAcentral.